RNAcentral lists this ribosomal RNA (329 nucleotides) under uncultured eukaryote. RNAcentral describes it as "partial 18S ribosomal RNA". It matches the Rfam family "Eukaryotic small subunit ribosomal RNA", at positions 1470 to 1796 of the family's 1831-position model. The record is from RNAcentral.
CCCUUAGAUGUUCUGGGCCGCACGCGCGCUACACUGAUGCAUUCAACGAGUCUAAAACCUGCUCUGAUAGGGGUGGGUAAUCUUUUGAAUGUGCAUCGUGAUUGGGAUAGAUGAUUGCAAUUUUUCAUCUUCAACGAGGAAUGCCUAGUAAACGCAAGUCAUCAGCUUGCAUUGAUUACGUCCCUGCUCUUUGUACACACCGCCCGUCGCUCCUACCGAUUGAAUGAUCCGAUGAAUAUCAUGGAUUGAGGAUGCAAGUAGGUUCGCCUAUCUUCAUCUUCGAGAAGUGAAGUAAAUCUUAUCAUUUAGAGGAAGGAGAAGUCGUAACA